This is a non-coding RNA of Acanthosepion pharaonis, 114 nucleotides long. NCBI's taxonomy places the organism in Eukaryota, Metazoa, Mollusca, Cephalopoda, Sepiida, Sepiidae. The record is from the annotation of a GenBank genome assembly.
UACAGCCAUAUCACAUUGAAACACUGGUUUUUGUAUGAUCACCAAAGUUAAGCAACAUAGAGUCUUGUCAGUACCUAGAUGGGUAACCACUUGAAAAUACCAGGUGCUGUAGGC